GACGAACCGUGCGAACGUUGUUCGGAAUCACUGGGCUUAAAGGGCGCGUAGGCGGGCCGACAAGUCAGGGGUGAAAUCCUCCAGCUUAACUGGAGAACUGCCUUUGAUACUGGCGGUCUGGAGUAAGGUAGGGGCAUGCGGAACUGAUGGUGGAGCGGUGAAAUGUGUUGAUAUCAUCAGGAACUCCGGUGGCGAAAGCGGCGUGCUGGACCUUUACUGACGCUGAGGCGCGAAAGCCAGGGGAGCAAACGGG
RNAcentral lists this ribosomal RNA (253 nucleotides) under uncultured bacterium. RNAcentral's name for it is "partial 16S ribosomal RNA". It matches the Rfam family "Bacterial small subunit ribosomal RNA", at positions 524 to 776 of the family's 1533-position model. The record is from RNAcentral.